Molecule: long non-coding RNA, 1053 nt
Organism: Oncorhynchus nerka (sockeye salmon)
Lineage: Eukaryota; Metazoa; Chordata; Actinopteri; Salmoniformes; Salmonidae
Exons: 2
Source: RefSeq, a predicted model, not a curated record
AGAGAAAUACGUUUCAGUGAAAGAAGAGGAAGACUCGUUCAGAGUGAAAGAAGAGGAGGGGAGAUUACUGUCACAUUGGAUGAAGAAGAGGAGGUUGGAGAUCUGUUCAAUACCAGAGAGAGACGGGACUACCGUGGGUCCUCUGGGGAGCCUCAACAACAUCAUGAUGCUGACGAGGCAGAGCAGAGUCUCUCUACAUCAGAACACCUCAAUAAACACUUGCAGAGACUCACACGGAGGAGAAUUCACUGCUGCUCUGACUGUGGGAAGAGAUUCACCUCCUCAUCAGGCAUUAAAAUGCAUCAGAGAACACACACACAGGAGAGAGGUCUUAUAGCUGUGAUCAAUGUGGGAAGAGUUUUAGACAAUCUGGAAGUCUGACAGUGCACCAGAGAACACACACAGGAGAGAAAUCUUAUAGCUGUGAUCAAUGUGGGAAGAGUUUUACUACAUCUGGCUAUCUGACUGUACACAAGAGAACACACACAGUAGAGAAACCUCUUAGCUUUGACCAGAGAUAAUCUGAUAAAAGAUCUCUGAUCAAAUAUCAGAAAAUACAUACAUGGAGUUGUUUCAUGAUAUCAAUGAAUUAAUGUCACAAUGUAGAAUGUUUUAACAUUGCAGUAGGAGUAUCUUAAUGUCACAAUGUAGAACCCAAAAUGCCAUUUCAGCAGGAGAGUGAAAUCCUGCUGGCCUUUGAUGGGGAGAACAUCCACGCCCUCGAGGACGUCCCCAUGGGACUUGGGGCUCUGCUAGGGCUGUAUUUCUUUUAUUUUCCCUUACAUUUCUCAAAAAUGUCAGAAAAACACUUAUGUUCUUAAGGUUAAGGUACUGUGUUUUGGGUGAAGUUACCAGGGCCGGUCACAAAGAUGGCAAACUUCCUAACAUAACUCAGUGAAUAUGAUAUACACACUAAAGCUGAAAAAUCUGCAUUUAGCAUCAAGUCUACAAUAUUGUUAGUUUACCUAGGAUUCAUUUUUAAUUUGUUGUUUUUAUUGUACAUCAUUAUUUAAAAAAUGUUUAAAUGUCAUUAAAAGCACUAUACAAAGUAAA